GUCCGCAGCUAUAUCAUCCUGCAUCUCACAAUUGGCAGCCCCACUGAAGCUCAGCAGGUGUGAGCCUGGUCAGUACCUGGAUGGGAGACUCCUGGGAAAAACUAAGGUUGCUGCUGGAA
RNAcentral lists this ribosomal RNA (119 nucleotides) under Lepisosteus oculatus (spotted gar). The record is from RNAcentral. Lineage: Eukaryota; Metazoa; Chordata; Actinopteri; Semionotiformes; Lepisosteidae.